GUUGUAUAGUCAAGUAAUUAAGUGCAUGUGGUGGAUGCCUUGGCAGUCAGAGGCGAUGAAAGACGUGAUAGCCUGCGAAAAGCUCCGGGGAGGCGGCAAAUAUCCUUUGAUCCGGAGAUGUCUGAAUGGGGGAACCCACCUACUUUAAGGUAGGUAUUGCAACAUGAAUACAUAGUGUUGCAAGGCGAACGAGGGGAAGUGAAACAUCUCAGUACCCUUAGGAAAAGAAAUCAAUUGAGAUUCCCUCAGUAGCGGCGAGCGAACGGGGAUCAGCCCAUUAAGUUAUGUGUGUUUUAGUGGAACGCUCUGGGAAGUGCGAACGUAGAGGGUGAUAUUCCCGUACACGAAAGGGCACACAUAAUGAUGACGAGUAGGGCGAGGCACGUGAAACCUUGUCUGAAUAUGGGGGGACCAUCCUCCAAGGCUAAAUACUCCUGACUGACCGAUAGUGAACCAGUACCGUGAGGGAAAGGCGAAAAGAACCCCUGUGAGGGGAGUGAAAUAGAUCCUGAAACCGCAUGCAUACAAGCAGUGGGAGCACCUUCGUGGUGUGACUGCGUACCUUUUGUAUAAUGGGUCAGCGACUUAUAUUCAGUAGCGAGGUUAACCGUAUAGGGGAGCCGUAGAGAAAUCGAGUCUUAAUAGGGCGUUUAGUUGCUGGGUAUAGACCCGAAACCAGGCGAUCUAUCCAUGAGCAGGUUGAAGGUUGGGUAACACUAACUGGAGGACCGAACCCACUGUCGUUGAAAAGCCAGGGGAUGACUUGUGGAUAGGGGUGAAAGGCUAAUCAAGCCUGGUGAUAGCUGGUUCUCCCCGAAAGCUAUUUAGGUAGCGCCUCGGACGAAUACCAUAGGGGGUAGAGCACUGUUUCGGCUAGGGGGUCAUCCCGACUUACCAAACCGAUGCAAACUCCGAAUACCUAUGAGUACUAUCCGGGAGACAGACUGCGGGUGCUAACGUCCGUAGUCAAGAGGAAAACAAUCCAGACCGCCAGCUAAGGCCCCAAAAUCAUAGUUAAGUGGGAAACGAUGUGGGAAGGCAUAGACAGCUAGGAGGUUGGCUUAGAAGCAGCCACCCUUUAAAGAAAGCGUAAUAGCUCACUAGUCGAGUCGGCCUGCGCGGAAGAUGUAACGGGGCUAAAACUAUGUGCCGAAGCUGCGGAUGUAUACUUUGUAUACGUGGUAGGGGAGCGUUCUGUAAGCCGAUGAAGGUGUGUUGAGAAGCAUGCUGGAGGUAUCAGAAGUGCGAAUGCUGACGUGAGUAACGACAAAACGGGUGAAAAACCCGUUCGCCGAAAGACCAAGGGUUCCAGUCCAACGUUAAUCGGGGCUGGGUGAGUCGACCCCUAAGGCGAGGCCGAAAGGCGUAGUCGAUGGGAAAAUGGUUAAUAUUCCAUUACUUCUGUGUAAUGCGAUGAGAGGACGGAGAAGGCUAAAUCAGCCUGGCGUUGGUUGUCCAGGUGAAAGGAUGUAGGCAUGUAUCUUAGGCAAAUCCGGGGUACUCUAUGCUGAGAUCUGAUAGCAAGCUGUAC
This 1531-nucleotide ribosomal RNA is filed under the name Acinetobacter baumannii. RNAcentral describes it as "partial 23S ribosomal RNA". It matches the Rfam family "Bacterial large subunit ribosomal RNA", at positions 1 to 1579 of the family's 2925-position model. The record is from RNAcentral. Lineage: Bacteria; Pseudomonadati; Pseudomonadota; Gammaproteobacteria; Moraxellales; Moraxellaceae.